RNAcentral lists this microRNA precursor (192 nucleotides) under Oryza nivara. Its description in RNAcentral is "MIR812 microRNA precursor family". It matches the Rfam family "MIR812 microRNA precursor family". Lineage: Eukaryota; Viridiplantae; Streptophyta; Magnoliopsida; Poales; Poaceae. The record is from Rfam by way of RNAcentral.
UAUAAGGGAUUUUAAGUUUUUACUUGCAACGUUUGACCACUCGUCUUAUUCAAAUUUUUUUAAAAUUAUUAUUUAUUUUAUUAGUCACUUACUUUAUUAUCCACAGUACUUUAAACACAACUUUUUAUUUUUUAUAAAUACAAAAAAAUUUAAAUAAGACGAGUGGUCAAAUGUUGCUAGCAAAAACUUAAA